CCUAAACAGCUCCUCCUCGUUCCCAUGGAGACCUCAGGCUGCCACGCAUUGGUUACUGGAUCAUACGACUCUACAGUGGCCAAAUCAGAGGUGCCAUCAUACCUGAUUUGUGAAAAGGAGUGUGAAACUAAUGAUCUUCCAGCACAACAGUGGAGUACCUGUGGGAUACAGGCUUGUGAUCGAUGACGAGUUCAUAACUACAGUAUAUCCCAACAGACUGCAGUAUGAAGCCUGAAAAUGACUUACUAAUAAACAGGCCUACAUGGAAUCUGUACCCACAGAACUCCAGAGAAAGCACAGAAGAUUUUAGCAGAAUUUGAACACCUGUUAUUCAAAGAGUUUUACACAUUCCCACCUCUACGGUGUUUGUUUACCAAUAAACUACCAAUAAAAAUGUA
Molecule: long non-coding RNA, 398 nt
Organism: Myxocyprinus asiaticus (Chinese sucker)
Lineage: Eukaryota; Metazoa; Chordata; Actinopteri; Cypriniformes; Catostomidae
Exons: 2
Source: RefSeq, a predicted model, not a curated record